Molecule: long non-coding RNA, 1615 nt
Organism: Cercocebus atys (sooty mangabey)
Lineage: Eukaryota; Metazoa; Chordata; Mammalia; Primates; Cercopithecidae
Exons: 5
Source: RefSeq, a predicted model, not a curated record
UGGCCCCCAGCCCACCCCGCGCCCUCGGCAGCGGCCCCCGCCAGAGUGCCCGGUACUUGCCUGCAGGCGAGCGCCGCCACGGUUCGUUCUCCACAACGGAACAGAUUGGAACUCCACUGAAUAUCAGGAGAGAAAAAAAAAAGCAAUUAGGCAAUACCUACUCCCUGCCAAAGGAGAACCCAGUUACUGAACAUCGGAUGAGAACAUGGAUAGCAAAUUGGGAGUGAAGGUUCAUACCUGGGUCUCAGAAGCACAGUACAGGAAUGCAGACAUCAGUACUACUCAAAGUGUGGUCCCAUAUUGAUCCCAUAUUGAUCAACUGUCAUUGGCUGAUGGAGAGGUUUUUAGAACAAGCCACCUUAUACAAGUUAAAAUUCAUGAAGCAAUGGACACAGGUUAAGGUAAUGGCCCCAAAGAAAUAUCAUUUUACAAAGCAAAGUGUCUUUCACACAGGACCUUAAAAUAAAGAGAACAUUUCUAAAAUUAAGAGUAUUUGAAUUUAUCUUGCUAAUUCUUACAACAGGUUUAUGAAUUAAGACUUUUACACAUUCUUAAAGCUGUCUCUUUCACCAUGACUUUGGCCAAGAGACUAAACAGAAAUUGGGAACGCUAAAAUAUCAGUUUAAGAUUUUUAACAAAUAAGUGGUAAAUAAUUCUUUUUCAUGCCUAAUUGAGUAACUUUUAGAUAUGAUCUAAGCCCAUACAGGUUGAGUAUCCCUUAUCCAAAAUGUUUGGGACCAGAAUUGUUUGGAAUUUCAGAUUUUGGAAUAUCUACGUACACAUAAUGAGAUAUCUUUGUGAUGGAACCCAGGUCUAGACAUGAAAUUCAUUUAUGUUUCAUAUACGCCUUAUACAUGUAGCCUUAAGGCAACUGUAUAUGAUAUGUUCAAUGAUGUGUCAUGAAAUCAGAUGUACAAUAUUCCACUUGUGGCAUCAGGUUGGAGCUAAAAAAAAAAAGCUUUGGAUUUUGAAGCAUUUUGGAUUUUGCUGUAUUUGAACUAGAAAUAGAGAGCAGUCCUCAUCACCUAAGCAAUAGCUGUUCACUGGGUUUGAAUUUUUUACGCUUUCUCUAUUUCUCCAAAAUAAAUCCAAAUUUAGCUUUUGUAACUAUUUUUGUGAGAUGACUUACCAUUAAUCUUCAAUAUUUCACCUAAAGUUACAGCACAAGUUACUGUUACAGCAGCUUGAGUAACACUAAGUAAUGGUAUAAAGGCUAUCAUGUGGUAUUAUUUCUCUACUAAUGUAGGCAUCAUUUUGCUUCCAGUUAUACCAGCCUGAGUAUGACAGCAACAUUCCUUUAGGGAUUAAAGAAAAUGCUUCAGAAGAUUGGAACACUGCUCAGCCUUCCCAAACUUCUUUUACCACUGAUGUUUCUACCUUAGUGAUCUUCCUCCCAUUUUGAUGCUUCUUUCUCUUUACACUUAAAAGUUCAUAAAAUCUUUCAACAUUAUUUUUCACUAUAAAAGUUUGAAGUUCUCUGUGAAAUGCCUACUAUGUAAGAAUUAAGAUAGAUUUUAAAGAUUGUUAGUCUCGAAACUCCAUGCUCAUCAGUUAGUGCAUGAUAUUAAAUUAUGCUUUUUUCCUCCUUUUAAAUAUACCAACAUUAUAUUGCUGA